RNAcentral lists this long non-coding RNA (483 nucleotides) under Spirodela polyrhiza (greater duckweed). Its description in RNAcentral is "long non-coding RNA (SPOL_LNC001833)". The record is from RNAcentral. Lineage: Eukaryota; Viridiplantae; Streptophyta; Magnoliopsida; Alismatales; Araceae.
CCAAAUUAAUUUUUUGCUUCUUCUGGAUCUGUAAAAAACCUACCCGUGUUCGACGUCUGCGAGAAUUGUACAGCGCGGUUCGAUCUAAGCCCCCUCACCCCCAAGAUAGGGAUUCCUCGAACGGAGGAGCUCCAUAGCGCGUCUGCUUGAUCACGGUCCAACUCUGGCGGUUCUCUCAGACAUCAGGAGACCGCCGCCCACAUCUCCAUCUCGUCGCAUGUCUGUGAUCAAAAUCGUCGUUGACAAAGGAACGAUAUCCCUUGUUCGUCUUAGAACCAGAUAGCUAGAGCGCGCGCGCGAGAGAGAGAGAGAGAGAUUGUACCGGGUUGUACCCAGCCAAGGACGCGGCUUGGUUUGACUUCACGCUGCCCAUCGGCGUCUAUUCUAGGAAGGUCAACGCCCAGGUCUCGUAACUGUUAGGGAUGGGAGGAGAGCUCGAAAGACUAGAGAUCUGAGAAACGCGUUGCUGUCGCUACAAUGAGU